Molecule: long non-coding RNA, 294 nt
Filed under: Trifolium pratense (red clover)
Lineage: Eukaryota; Viridiplantae; Streptophyta; Magnoliopsida; Fabales; Fabaceae
Description: long non-coding RNA (TPRA_LNC003675)
Source: RNAcentral
CUACAUCACAUUAAAUCACAUCAAAUUUUUUUCUCUUUCACCUUAAAUCUUCAUAUUCUUCUCCAAAACCACCACCACCACCACUACUUAUCUAUUUUUAUUCCUCUAUCUUUCACAAACAAGAUUGAAAAACAACAACACAAAUUUUUACACAAAAAUUUUACAAAACAUAAAAUAAAAUAAUGAAGAAUAGAGGAUUCAAUCACUUUGUUUAAAGGCUUGCUCAAGCAAUCCAUCUAUUUAAGGUGCAUCAAGUUAGAGCAAAAAUCAUGCAACUAUAAGGAAAAAUAGAGG